CCUACGGGCGGCAGCAGUGGGGAAUAUUGGACAAUGGGGGCAACCCUGAUCCAGCCAUGCCGCGUGUGUGAAGAAGGCCCUCGGGUUGUAAAGCACUUUCAGUGAGGAAGAACGCCUGGUGGUUAAUACCCAUCAGGAAAGACAUCACUCACAGAAGAAGCACCGGCUAACUCCGUGCCAGCAGCCGCGGUAAUACGGAGGGUGCGAGCGUUAAUCGGAAUUACUGGGCGUAAAGCGCGCGUAGGUGGCUUGAUAAGCCGGUUGUGAAAGCCCCGGGCUCAACCUGGGAACGGCAUCCGGAACUGUCAAGCUAGAGUGCAGGAGAGGAAGGUAGAAUUCCCGGUGUAGCGGUGAAAUGCGUAGAGAGCGGGAGGAAUACCAGUGGCGAAGGCGGCCUUCUGGACUGACACUAACACUGAGGUGCGAAAGCGUGGGUAGCAAACAGGAUUAGAUACCCGAGUAGUC
RNAcentral lists this ribosomal RNA (465 nucleotides) under Vreelandella stevensii. Its description in RNAcentral is "partial 16S ribosomal RNA". It matches the Rfam family "Bacterial small subunit ribosomal RNA", at positions 338 to 795 of the family's 1533-position model. Lineage: Bacteria; Pseudomonadati; Pseudomonadota; Gammaproteobacteria; Oceanospirillales; Halomonadaceae. The record is from RNAcentral.